GCCGAGCUUUGUAACGCAAGCUUGUAACCCGAGUGGGGGCUUUGAGGUGCUGGAACAUUGGCUCAGUAUUAGCUGGUCGGGUUCGGGUUGGCUAUUUACUGGCCCGCCCAUUCCAAGCCAGGAGUUGAACCCUGUGGCUCGAGCGAAGGCUCUGGGUUACUUGGUUUCUAGAGCGGAGGGAACCGCGUAAGGCUGGCUUCACAGAGCAACGACUACCUCCCGCUCUUGGCAGUGGAAGGAUAACGGGUCGGUGGUCACUUGGAUCCCAUCAUGGCUCGCUAGACUGUCCCAAUUGAACCAAAACCUUU
This 308-nucleotide signal recognition particle RNA is filed under the name Prunus dulcis (almond). RNAcentral's name for it is "sRNA ncRNA". It matches the Rfam family "Plant signal recognition particle RNA". The record is from Rfam by way of RNAcentral. Lineage: Eukaryota; Viridiplantae; Streptophyta; Magnoliopsida; Rosales; Rosaceae.